ACAAUGGAGAGUUUGAUCCUGGCUCAGGAUGAACGCUAGCGGGAGGCCUAACACAUGCAAGCCGAGCGGUAGAUUGCUUUCGGGCAAUUGAGAGCGGCGUACGGGUGCGGAACACGUGUGCAACCUGCCUUUAUCUGGGGGAUAGCCUUUCGAAAGGAAGAUUAAUACCCCAUAAUAUAAGAGACGGCAUCGUUUUUUAUUGAAAACUCCGGUGGAUAGAGAUGGGCACGCGCAAGAUUAGAUAGUUGGUGAGGUAACGGCUCACCAAGUCUACGAUCUUUAGGGGGCCUGAGAGGGUGAUCCCCCACACUGGUACUGAGACACGGACCAGACUCCUACGGGAGGCAGCAGUGAGGAAUAUUGGACAAUGGGUGAAAGCCUGAUCCAGCCAUCCCGCGUGAAGGACGACGGCCCUAUGGGUUGUAAACUUCUUUUGUAUAGGGAUAAACCUUUCCACGAGUGGAAAGCUGAAGGUACUAUACGAAUAAGCACCGGCUAACUCCGUGCCAGCAGCCGCGGUAAUACGGAGGGUGCAAGCGUUAUCCGGAUUUAUUGGGUUUAAAGGGUCCGUAGGCUGAUUUGUAAGUCAGUGGUGAAAUCUCACAGCUUAACUGUGAAACUGCCAUUGAUACUGCAAGUCUUGAGUGUUGUUGAAGUAGCUGGAAUAAGUAGUGUAGCGGUGAAAUGCAUAGAUAUUACUUAGAACACCAAUUGCGAAGGCAGGUUACUAAGCAACAACUGACGCUGAUGGACGAAAGCGUGGGGAGCGAACAGGAUUAGAUACCCUGGUAGUCCACGCCGUAAACGAUGCUAACUCGUUUUUGGGAUGUAAAUUUCAGAGACUAAGCGAAAGUGAUAAGUUAGCCACCUGGGGAGUACGAACGCAAGUUUGAAACUCAAAGGAAUUGACGGGGGCCCGCACAAGCGGUGGAUUAUGUGGUUUAAUUCGAUGAUACGCGAGGAACCUUACCAAGGCUUAAAUGGGAAAUGACAGGCUUAGAAAUAGGCUUUUCUUCGGACAUUUUUCAAGGUGCUGCAUGGUUGUCGUCAGCUCGUGCCGUGAGGUGUUAGGUUAAGUCCUGCAACGAGCGCAACCCCUGUCACUAGUUGCCAUCAUUAAGUUGGGGACUCUAGUGAGACUGCCUACGCAAGUAGAGAGGAAGGUGGGGAUGACGUCAAAUCAUCACGGCCCUUACGCCUUGGGCCACACACGUAAUACAAUGGCCGGUACAGAGGGCAGCUACACAGUGAUGUGAUGCAAAUCUCGAAAGCCGGUCUCAGUUCGGAUUGGAGUCUGCAACUCGACUCUAUGAAGCUGGAAUCGCUAGUAAUCGCGCAUCAGCCAUGGCGCGGUGAAUACGUUCCCGGGCCUUGUACACACCGCCCGUCAAGCCAUGGAAGUCUGGGGUACCUGAAGUCGGUGACCGUAAAAGGAGCUGCCUAGGGUAAAACAGGUAACUAGGGCUAAGUCGUAACAAGGUAGCCGUACCGGAAGGUGCGGCUGGAACAUCUCAUUUUAGA
Molecule: ribosomal RNA, 1521 nt
Filed under: Chryseobacterium gallinarum
Lineage: Bacteria; Pseudomonadati; Bacteroidota; Flavobacteriia; Flavobacteriales; Weeksellaceae
Description: bacterial SSU rRNA
Rfam family: Bacterial small subunit ribosomal RNA
Source: RNAcentral